This 568-nucleotide ribosomal RNA is filed under the name uncultured bacterium. Its description in RNAcentral is "partial 16S ribosomal RNA". It matches the Rfam family "Bacterial small subunit ribosomal RNA", at positions 355 to 914 of the family's 1533-position model. The record is from RNAcentral.
UGGGGAAUCUUCCGCAAUGGACGAAAGUCUGACGGAGCAACGCCGCGUGAGUGAAGAAGGUUUUCGGAUCGUAAAACUCUGUCUUUUGGGGCGAACGUGAGUAUGGUGAACAAUCAUAGUCAGUGACGGUACCAAAGGAGGAAGCCACGGCUAACUACGUGCCAGCAGCCGCGGUAAUACGUAGGUGGCAAGCGUUGUCCGGAAUUAUUGGGCGUAAAGAGCGCGUAGGCGGGAUAGUCAGUCUGUUGUAAAGUGCGGGGCUCAACCCCGUGAUCGCAAUGGAAACAGCUAUUCUUGAGUGCAGGAGAGGAAAGUGGAAUUCCCAGUGUAGCGGUGAAAUGCGUAGAUAUUGGGAGGAACACCAGUGGCGAAGGCGACUUUCUGGACUGUGUCUGACGCUGAGGCGCGAAAGCCAGGGGAGCGAACGGGAUUAGAUACCCCGGUAGUCCUGGCCGUAAACGAUGGGUACUAGGUGUGGGAGGUAUCGACCCCUUCCGUGCCGGAGUUAACGCAAUAAGUACCCCGCCUGGGGAGUACGGUCGCAAGACUGAAACUCAAAGGAAUUGAC